GAUGAACGCUAGCGGCAGGCUUAACACAUGCAAGUCGAGGGGCAGCACGAGUAGCAAUACUUGGUGGCGACCGGCGCAAGGGUGCGUAACGCGUGAGCAACAUGCCCGUAUCAGGGGGAUAAUCCAGGGAAACUUGGUCUAAUACCCCAUAGUAAUCAUAUCAGGCAUCUGGUAUGAUUUAAAGCUUAGGUGGAUACGGAUUGGCUCGCGUGACAUUAGCUAGAUGGUAAGGUAACGGCUUACCAUGGCUAUGAUGUCUAGGGGUUCUGAGAGGAAGGUCCCCCACACUGGAACUGAGACACGGUCCAGACUCCUACGGGAGGCAGCAGUGAGGAAUAUUGGACAAUGGAUGGAAAUCUGAUCCAGCCAUGCCGCGUGAAGGACGACGGUCCUAUGGAUUGUAAACUUCUUUUGUAUGGGAGCAAUAAGGUCUACGUGUAGAUCGAUGAGAGUACCAUACGAAUAAGC
RNAcentral lists this ribosomal RNA (468 nucleotides) under uncultured bacterium. RNAcentral's name for it is "bacterial SSU rRNA". It matches the Rfam family "Bacterial small subunit ribosomal RNA", at positions 28 to 491 of the family's 1533-position model. The record is from RNAcentral.